This 402-nucleotide ribosomal RNA is filed under the name uncultured eukaryote. Its description in RNAcentral is "SSU rRNA". It matches the Rfam family "Eukaryotic small subunit ribosomal RNA", at positions 82 to 482 of the family's 1831-position model. The record is from RNAcentral.
CGAAACCGCGAAUGGCUCAUUAAAUCAGUUAUGGUUCACUAGAUCGUACAGUUUACAUGGAUAACUGUGGUAAUUCUAGAGCUAAUACAUGCAACCAGUCCGUUCCCUCGUGGAGCGGACGCAGUUACUUGCCCAAGACCAAUCCGGCCCUCGGGUCGGUCAAUUGGUGACUCUGAAUAACCGAAGCGGAGCGCAUGAUCUCGUAUCGGCGCCAGAUCUUUCAAGUGUCUGACUUAUCAGCUUGUUGUUAGGUUAUGUUCCUAACAAGGCUUUUACGGGUAACGGAGUGUCAGGGCCCGACACCGGAGAGGGAGCCUGAGAAACGGCUACCACAUCCAAGGAAGGCAGCAGGCGCGCAAAUUACCCACUCCCGGCACGGGGAGGUAGUGACGAAAAAUAACG